GACGAACGCUGGCGGCGUGCUUAACACAUGCCAGUCGAGCGGUAAGGCCCCUUCGGGGGUCCACGAGCGGCGCACGGGUGAGUAACACGUGAGCAAUCUGCCCAUCACAUCGGGAUAACUCCGGGAAACCGAAGCUAAUACCGAAUACGACCACCUCCGGCAUCGGAUGGUGGUGGAAAGUUCCGGCGGUGAUGGAUGAGCUCGCGGCCUAUCAGCUUGUUGGUGGGGUAACGGCCCACCAAGGCUUCGACGGGUAGCCGGCCUGAGAGGGUGACCGGCCACACUGGGACUGAGACACGGCCCAGACUCCUACGGGAGGCAGCAGUGGGGAAUAUUGGACAAUGGGCGAAAGCCUGAUCCAGCAACGCCGCGUGAGGGAUGACGGCCUUCGGGUUGUAAACCUCUUUCAGCAGGGACGAAGCGCAAGUGACGGUACCUGCAGAAGAAGCACCGGCCAACUACGUG
Molecule: ribosomal RNA, 465 nt
Filed under: uncultured bacterium
Lineage: Bacteria
Description: partial 16S ribosomal RNA
Rfam family: Bacterial small subunit ribosomal RNA
Source: RNAcentral